RNAcentral lists this ribosomal RNA (502 nucleotides) under uncultured bacterium. RNAcentral's name for it is "partial 16S ribosomal RNA". It matches the Rfam family "Bacterial small subunit ribosomal RNA", at positions 30 to 523 of the family's 1533-position model. The record is from RNAcentral.
AUUGAACGCUGGCGGCAGGCUUAACACAUGCAAGUCGAGCGGGGUGAUGGUGCUUGCACUAUCACUUAGCGGCGGACGGGUGAGUAAUGCUUAGGAAUCUGCCUAUUAGUGGGGGACAACAUCUCGAAAGGGAUGCUAAUACCGCAUACGUCCUACGGGAGAAAGCAGGGGAUCUUUAUGACCUUGCGCUAAUAGAUGAGCCUAAGGCGGAUUAGCUAGUUGGUGGGGUAAAGGCCUACCAAGGCGACGAUCUGUAGCGGGUCUGAGAGGAUGAUCAGCCACAGUAGGAGUGAGGCACGGCCCAGACUACCACGGGAGGCAGCAGUGGGGAAUAUUGGACAAUGGGGGGAACCCUGAUCCAGCCAUGCCGCGUGUGUGAAGAAGGCCUUAUGGUUGUAAAGCACUUUAAGCGAGGAGGAGGCUCUUUUGGCUAAUACCCAGAAUGAGUGGACGUUACUCGCAGAAUAAGCACCGGCUAACUCUGUGCCAGCAGCCGCAGUAA